UGAGAGAGACAUGCGCGCAUAUCAAUAAGCGGAGGAAAAGAAACUAACAAGGAUUCCCUUAGUAACGGCGAGUGAAGCGGGAAGAGCUCAAAUUUGAAAUCUUCAAGGUUUUACCUUGACGAAUUGUAGUUUAAAGAAGUGUUUUCUGCUGAAGUUUUGGUAAAAGUUCUUUGGAAUAGGACAUCAUAGAGGGUGAGAAUCCCGUAUUUGACCAUUAUUUUCAGCUUUGUGAUACACUUUCAAAGAGUCGGAUUGUUUGGGAAUGCAGUCCAAAAUGGGUGGUAAAUUUCAUCUAAAGCUAAAUAUUGGCGAGAGACCGAUAGCGAACAAGUACCGUGAGGGAAAGAUGAAAAGAACUUUGAAAAGAGAGUUAAACAGUACGUGAAAUUGUCAAAAGGGAAGCGUUUGACACCAGUGUUGUUUUCUCGAAAAUCAAUUAAAAAUGGCUCGAUUUUGUAUUGCUGUGACCUUAAAAGCUCACUGUACAUUUUUCGUGUCUUUUUUAAUGCACUUUUCGUUUAACAAGUCAACAUCAGUUUCUUUUGUUGUAAAAGGGUCAUUGGAAGGUGGCUUUCUUUUCGGAGAAAGUGUUUAUAGCCUUUGGCCUCUGCAAUCGAAGAGACUGAGGUCUGCAGCGUAGACUCUUCGGGGUUAGAUACAUUUGUGCUAAGUUAUAGCUUUUUAUAGACAACUUGUUGACUAUAAUUAGUCUUGUAGCUUACUCGCUUAUGCUAUUUUACCUACGCUUAGGAUGUUGAAGAUGUAGCACAUCAU
RNAcentral lists this ribosomal RNA (774 nucleotides) under uncultured Neocallimastigales. RNAcentral describes it as "partial large subunit ribosomal RNA". It matches the Rfam family "Eukaryotic large subunit ribosomal RNA", at positions 21 to 634 of the family's 3401-position model. The record is from RNAcentral. Lineage: Eukaryota; Fungi; Neocallimastigomycota; Neocallimastigomycetes; Neocallimastigales.